CAGUCGCCACGGUAAUACGUAGGUCCCGAGCGUUGUCCGGAUUUAUUGGGCGUAAAGGGAGCGCAGGCGGUUUAGUAAGUCUGAAGUUAAAGGCAUUGGCUCAACCAAUGUAUGCUUUGGAGACUGUUAGGCUUGAGUGCAGAAGGGGAGAGUGGAAUUCCAUGUGUAGCGGUGAAAUGCGUAGAUAUAUGGAGGAACACCGGUGGCGAAAGCGGCUCUCUGGUCUGUCACUGACGCUGAGGCUCGAAAGCGUGGGUAGCGAACAGGAUUAGAUACCCCCGUAGUCCCUGUCUCUUAUACC
This 301-nucleotide ribosomal RNA is filed under the name uncultured bacterium. RNAcentral's name for it is "partial 16S ribosomal RNA". It matches the Rfam family "Bacterial small subunit ribosomal RNA", at positions 509 to 808 of the family's 1533-position model. The record is from RNAcentral.